GUGGGUAGUUUGACUGGGGCGGUCUCCUCCUAAAGAGUAACGGAGGAGCACGAAGGUUGGCUAAUCCUGGUCGGACAUCAGGAGGUUAGUGCAAUGGCAUAAGCCAGCUUGACUGCGAGCGUGACGGCGCGAGCAGGUGCGAAAGCAGGUCAUAGUGAUCCGGUGGUUCUGAAUGGAAGGGCCAUCGCUCAACGGAUAAAAGGUACUCCGGGGAUAACAGGCUGAUACCGCCCAAGAGUUCAUAUCGACGGCGGUGUUUGGCACCUCGAUGUCGGCUCAUCACAUCCUGGGGCUGAAGUAGGUCCCAAGGGUAUGGCUGUUCGCCAUUUAAAGUGGUACGCGAGCUGGGUUUAGAACGUCGUGAGACAGUUCGGUCCCUAUCUGCCGUGGGCGCUGGAGAACUGAGGGGGGCUGCUCCUAGUACGAGAGGACCGGAGUGGACGCAUCACUGGUGUUCGGGUUGUCAUGCCAAUGGCACUGCCCGGUAGCUAAAUGCGGAAGAGAUAAGUGCUGAAAGCAUCUAAGCACGAAACUUGCCCCGAGAUGAGUUCUCCCUGAGACUUUAGGUCUCCUGAAGGAACGUUGAAGACGACGACGUUGAUAGGCCGGGUGUGUAAGCGCAGCGAUGCGUUGAGCUAACCGGUACUAAUGA
This 652-nucleotide ribosomal RNA is filed under the name Salmonella enterica subsp. enterica serovar Indiana. Its description in RNAcentral is "partial 23S ribosomal RNA". It matches the Rfam family "Bacterial large subunit ribosomal RNA", at positions 2261 to 2907 of the family's 2925-position model. The record is from RNAcentral. Lineage: Bacteria; Pseudomonadati; Pseudomonadota; Gammaproteobacteria; Enterobacterales; Enterobacteriaceae.